ACGUGAUUAUAGUGUCACCAGGUUUUUGUUAAAACCAAAGUAGUAAUCAAAAACCUAACAUUGAUAAACUUACUCUUCUUUUCCCAUUUUAGAAGAUACAGAGAUUUCAAAUACACUAUACAGUAUCAACUUUAAUGCCUAGCUGGAUUGUGAGUUCUGAGGAAAAUUCUAAAAAACUUUUAACAAAUUUUAGGGAAUUUUUAUUUUUCAAAUCAUAAUUUGAAAUUAUCUGUACCUUUUUGUGAUAAUUAUCAAAGCAAUUCAUAAGCCAGUUUUCUACCAUUUUAGUUGAAAGACAAUAGUAGAUACAAUUGGGAAACCUGUUUUAAUUUUAGAGUAAGCAUCUACUUCUGCAUCAUACCCUUUGUAGGUUAUGGAACCUAUUUAGUUCAGAAAUUCUUUGUGGUGUGUGAGAUAAUGUAUGAGAAAAGUGUUGGUAAAUGCUGAGGACUAUACAAAUGAUACUUGUUAUUUUCAUGUGUAUUUGUAAGGUCAUGCCCAUCCGUAAAUAUAGACACUUUCUUACAGAAAAGCCUUUCUCAGUGUAACCUAUAUUUUAGUACUUUUGUAAGUAUUAACUAUUUACUUGUAUUUUGUUAUAUGUUUAUUUUUAAUAUUCAUGUGUUUAUUACAGUAAAUUUGAAAUGAAAUCCUAUAAACCAGAAUUUGUUUAAACAUGGACCUUAUGCCAAUAUUUUUAAAUUUUUUUCUCUACAUAAUUUAAAACCACAUAAUUAGGUCACCAAGAACUUAGC
RNAcentral lists this long non-coding RNA (755 nucleotides) under Bos taurus (domestic cattle). RNAcentral's name for it is "long non-coding RNA NONBTAT000909". The record is from RNAcentral. Lineage: Eukaryota; Metazoa; Chordata; Mammalia; Artiodactyla; Bovidae.